CAGCCAUACCGCGUGGGUGAAGAAGGCCUUCGGGUUGUAAAGCCCUUUUGUUGGGAAAGAAAUCCAGCCGGCUAAUACCUGGUUGGGAUGACGGUACCCAAAGAAUAAGCACCGGCUAACUUCGUGCCAGCAGCCGCGGUAAUACGAAGGGUGCAAGCGUUACUCGGAAUUACUGGGCGUAAAGCGUGCGUAGGUGGUUGUUUAAGUCUGUUGUGAAAGCCCUGGGCUCAACCUGGGAACUGCAGUGGAAACUGGACGACUAGAGUGUGGUAGAGGGUAGCGGAAUUCCUGGUGUAGCAGUGAAAUGCGUAGAGAUCAGGAGGAACAUCCAUGGCGAAGGCAGCUACCUGGACCAACACUGACACUGAGGCACGAAAGCGUGGGGAGCAAACAGGAUUAGAUACCCUGGUAGUCCACGCCCUAAACGAUGCGAACUGGAUGUUGGGUGCAAUUUGGCACGCAGUAUCGAAGCUAACGCGUUAAGUUCGCCGCCUGGGGAGUACGGUCGCAAGACUGAAACUCAAAGG
This 527-nucleotide ribosomal RNA is filed under the name Stenotrophomonas sp. RNAcentral's name for it is "bacterial SSU rRNA". It matches the Rfam family "Bacterial small subunit ribosomal RNA", at positions 389 to 907 of the family's 1533-position model. Lineage: Bacteria; Pseudomonadati; Pseudomonadota; Gammaproteobacteria; Lysobacterales; Lysobacteraceae. The record is from RNAcentral.